RNAcentral lists this transfer RNA (70 nucleotides) under Streptococcus thermophilus. RNAcentral's name for it is "tRNA-Gly". It matches the Rfam family "tRNA". From Rfam's summary of the family: Transfer RNA (tRNA) molecules are approximately 80 nucleotides in length. Their secondary structure includes four short double-helical elements and three loops (D, anti-codon, and T loops). The record is from RNAcentral. Lineage: Bacteria; Bacillati; Bacillota; Bacilli; Lactobacillales; Streptococcaceae. RNAcentral also lists the same sequence under 2 other names.
GCGGGUGUAGUUUAGUGGUAAAACUACAGCCUUCCAAGCUGUUGUCGCGAGUUCGAUUCUCGUCACCCGC